Molecule: ribosomal RNA, 234 nt
Filed under: uncultured Latescibacterota bacterium
Lineage: Bacteria; Pseudomonadati; Candidatus Latescibacterota
Description: uncultured Latescibacteria bacterium partial 16S ribosomal RNA
Rfam family: Bacterial small subunit ribosomal RNA
Source: RNAcentral
GCCGGGUGUUAAACCGGAGGAAGCGGGGAUGACGUCAAGUCCUCAUGGCCCUUACAUCCCGGGCUACACACGUGCUACAAUGGCAGGUACAGAGGGCUGCGAAGCCGCGAGGUGGAGACGAAUCCCAGAAAACCUGUCUCAGUCCGGAUUGAAGUCUGCAACUCGACUUCAUGAAGGCGGAAUCGCUAGUAACCGCGGAAUCAGCAGGUCGCGGUGAAUACGUUCCCGGGCCUU